Epinephelus moara (kelp grouper) is the source of this 1218-nucleotide long non-coding RNA. RefSeq lists it as uncharacterized. The record is from RefSeq and is a predicted model, not a curated record. The transcript has 6 exons. NCBI's taxonomy places the organism in Eukaryota, Metazoa, Chordata, Actinopteri, Perciformes, Serranidae.
UUCAGAUUGGCAGUGCACACGUGUGGUUUGUUGUGAUGACGUAAGUGGGCGGCGACAGGUCGCCGCGACCACACCGUUGGAAUGGAGUACGCUGAACCGGAGUAAACAAUCCCACGUUUGGAGUCUCUAUGCGGGUCUACCGGGGUCGACUGUGUAACAGGCCGAGGUUUUUAAUGGCCGGUAAGCAUAGAGGCGGCUCGAUGAAGUUGUUAAACAUGCGAAGUUGCGAGGCGGAGUAUUUCGACAUACUCCCUCGUGGAGCCGGGAGGAUGCUAGCGUUAGCACAACGCUAGUAGCCUAGUAGUUGCAGACCAGCUGAGAGAAGGCGGUAUCAGCCGAGCGGCCCACCGACAGCAGGCUAGCUGUCCUGGAAACAACUCUCCGAGUGUACAGGACUGAGGAGAGGCGGAGAAAAUCCAAACGUUUGCUGCAGAAGAUCGCCGGUGGCCCGGGCAGGUAGCGCCGAAGCGGUGGUGGCUAGGAGGGCUAGCAGGUUGACGCCGUCAGCCAGCCUGGAUGGAGGACAGUAGUGAAGCUGUCCUGGUCAGCAAUCCGACAGCAAAGAACAGCCAGAGGGACACGAAGAGAGGCAGGACGGAGCAAAACGGGCUGGAUUACAGAGUCCACUAACGUAACGUUAGUCCUGGAGCAGGAGCCGAUGCAGUAGCAGGUGUAGCGGGGUGGAGUACACCGGGACAGGUGCAAGAAUACUGAUGCACUGCCUCCCAGCUCCUCGAUGCUGCCUGUCUCUGAUUCUGCCUCUAGUCGGUUUAUAGAGACAUGCAGAGAAUGAGCUGGGUCCCAGUAGAGCUGGUUCUUACAACAGGGGGGACUCCCAAACCUAAUAUCCACAACACAGAGCCUCCUGCUGUAAAGACCACUGUGCCGGAGGAGAGUGGGCAGGAGCUCAAGUGACUGACCCCUCAUCAGAGGCUGCAGCAACCUGAAUCCAGCCAGCACAAGCCCCAGCUCCAGAGGACUGGACAGCCCCAACUCCCAGCCGGAUCAGCAAACUUUCUGUUGCUGCCUUUACACAGCUUUGCAACUUUCCCUCCUCCGAUGUCCCAGCACUGAACAGUGGAAAGAGUAAAAGAUCAUUCUACAGAGGCAGCACAGAUAAAGGGCCUUUUCUCUUGGAUCUGGAGGCGGCGCUUGGUGUCCAAAAGUUCCAGCAAAGCUCGGGAUGUUUUGCUGUGAGGAGCCGCCCCACUGUGACAC